Molecule: long non-coding RNA, 891 nt
Organism: Camelus dromedarius (Arabian camel)
Lineage: Eukaryota; Metazoa; Chordata; Mammalia; Artiodactyla; Camelidae
Exons: 4
Source: RefSeq, a predicted model, not a curated record
GGAAACUUACCCGUGAACUUAGGUCUUUGGGCAGCAGCAUUAUCUCGAACCUACACAGCGUCCAGAACAAAAGACAUUAGGCAAUCUCCACAAAGGGCGGCAGCCCCUCCAUCACACUGAUCCACCCACAGAAUUCUGCCCAGUUACCUUGGAUCAAAGAGCCACAACAAGCCUCGCGGUUCACACCAAGAUUCUCCUAGAAUCCAACAGGUUUUCUGAAGCCUCAGCCUUUCUUUGGAAGUAACAGACCACUCUUCGGAAAGUGUCCUGUGCCAAGGGCUCGACAUCAGGAAUCUUGGAGCGGUUCUUGGAGCAGUGAAUUGAGUGACUUUCUCAAGUGCACGUUCACACUCCGAAUGUUUCUGCCAGUAUCUCAGAUUUUCAGUAGGUCUCAUGAAUGUCUUUCGAGGCUUGUAUUCUCUGGAGAUGUCUCCAUGGCGGUAUUCUCCAUUGUAGCGGAACAACUCUCAUCAAUAUGUUCGCAUCUCUCCUCAAUCCGUGCAGUCAGCUUUUCUGCCAGCUUCUCUUCGUGUCUCCCAUAAAGUCGACUUCAACAGGACUGGGCAAGUCUGAAAGUACAUCGGAGCCUCACCAGUAAGCUGAUGACAGGCAGAUCUUCCACUGUCUGCCCUCUCAGGUUCUGGAAACUUACCCGUGAACUUAGGUCUUUGGGCAGCAGCAUUAUCUCGAACUUACACAGCGUCCUGAUCAAAAGACCUAAGCCAAUCUCCACAAAGGGCGGCAGCCCCUCCAUCACACUGAUCCACCCAUAGAAUUCUGCCCAGUUUCCUUGGAUCCACCAGCCACAACAUGCCUCGUGGUACACAUCAAGAUUCCAACUAGAAUCCAACCGGGUUUCUGGGGCCUCAGCCUGUCCUUGGAAGUAACAGA